Molecule: ribosomal RNA, 381 nt
Filed under: uncultured bacterium
Lineage: Bacteria
Description: bacterial SSU rRNA
Rfam family: Bacterial small subunit ribosomal RNA
Source: RNAcentral
UCAGGCCUAACACAUGCAAGUCGAGCGAGACCUUCGGGUCUAGCGGCGGACGGGUGAGUAACGCGUGGGAACGUGCCCUUUGCUUCGGAAUAGCCCCGGGAAACUGGGAGUAAUACCGGAUGAGCCCUACGGGGGAAAGAUUUAUCGGCGAAGGAUCGGCCCGCGUUGGAUUAGGUAGUUGGUGGGGUAAUGGCCUACCAAGCCGACGAUCCAUAGCUGGUUUGAGAGGAUGAUCAGCCACACUGGGACUGAGACACGGCCCAGACUCCUACGGGAGGCAGCAGUGGGGAAUCUUAGACAAUGGGGGAAACCCUGAUCUAGCCAUGCCGCGUGAGCGAUGAAGGCCUUAGGGUUGUAAAGCUCUUCAGCUGGAAGAUAAUG